RNAcentral lists this ribosomal RNA (200 nucleotides) under uncultured bacterium. Its description in RNAcentral is "partial 16S ribosomal RNA". It matches the Rfam family "Bacterial small subunit ribosomal RNA", at positions 30 to 232 of the family's 1533-position model. The record is from RNAcentral.
AUUGAACGCUGGCGGCAUGCCUUACACAUGCAAGUCGAACGGUAACAGGUCUUCGGAUGCUGACGAGUGGCGAACGGGUGAGUAAUAUAUCGGAACGUGCCCAAGAGUGGGGGAUAACGUAGCGAAAGUUACGCUAAUACCGCAUGCGAUCUACGGAUGAAAGCGGGGGAUCGCAAGACCUCGCGCGAUUGGAGCGGCUG